This 497-nucleotide ribosomal RNA is filed under the name uncultured bacterium. RNAcentral's name for it is "partial 16S ribosomal RNA". It matches the Rfam family "Bacterial small subunit ribosomal RNA", at positions 28 to 507 of the family's 1533-position model. The record is from RNAcentral.
GAUGAACGCUGGCGGCGUGCCUAAUACAUGCAAGUCGAGCGAACGGACGAGAAGCUUGCUUCUCUGAUGUUAGCGGCGGACGGGUGAGUAACACGUGGAUAACCUACCUAUAAGACUGGGAUAACUUCGGGAAACCGGAGCUAAUACCGGAUAAUAUUUUGAACCGCAUGGUUCAAAAGUGAAAGACGGUCUUGCUGUCACUUAUAGAUGGAUCCGCGCUGCAUUAGCUAGUUGGUAAGGUAACGGCUUACCAAGGCAACGAUGCAUAGCCGACCUGAGAGGGUGAUCGGCCACCACGGAACUGAGACACGGUCCAGACUCCUACGGGAGGCAGCAGUAGGGAAUCUUCCGCAAUGGGCGAAAGCCUGACGGAGCAACGUCGCGUGAGUGAUGAAGGUCUUCGGAUCGUAAAACUCUGUUAUUAGGGAAGAACAUAUGUGUAAGUAACUGUGCACAUCUUGACGGUACCUAAUCAGAAAGCCACGGCUAACUACGUG